GGUUACUAGGCAGUUAUUGUAGCUGUGAAAGGGUCUGGAUAGGUAGGCUAUUUUGGAUAUAGCUCAACUAUCUCUGAAUGGAAUGUGCUGUUAAGAAUGUGCCAUAAGUGCAUAGUUGGUAGGGACCAGGGCGUGAUUUGUAAUUGAGCAGCAUAUUAGGUCUGUCAUUCACCUCUAAUAUCCCCUCAUUUUAGAACAAGUCAUCAAAUAAGUAAGCAAUAUGGUUGAUGUAAGAAAUUCCAUCAUAUUGCUCACCUCUUCAAGAUUCAAUUCAACGGAUCCCCAAUGGAGUCUGUUUUAAUAAGGCCAACAUAAAUCUCAAAUUAAGCCUUCAAAAACUUAAAAUACAUCCUUUCCUCAUUGGCAUAAUUGCUGAAGUGACUUGGUGAUAUCUAUGCUUAUUUUUCCCAAUUGCAUUAGAUUUGUUUUUACUUCAAGGGAGGAUGCAUCUUUUUUUUUUUUUUUUUUUUUUUACUGCUGAUAGGUUCAAAUGUCUUUCCGGAGUGGCCUUAGUGCAAUUCACCUUUGACCUCUUUCUCCAUCUAGUGAUGUUUCCUAAAGGGCCAAGGAGAGAAUGGGUAUCUCCCAAUACUAAUUUGUGGUCUCCUUUCCAAGAGCUCUCACCAGGGCCACAAAGCGUCUUAGUAGGAGUGCUGAUCUAGACUCAGUUGAGCUUUUUAGAUCAAAGUGAGUAAUAUUUUAGAGACAAAUGCUGGAUUAGCAGUCCAACUCAGAGACCCUUUGUGGAUGCGGGCCCCAGGCUCUGAGAGGGCAAGGUUAAUUGAUCUCCAUUUGGCUCUCACCUCCCAAUGUGUGUUCGUCGUACAGACACAGAUUAUCACACAUUUACAAUGCUUGGAAACUUGUUAAACAUCUCAGGAACCAAUAUGAGAUAAUUAAAAUCUCUAAAGAAUCUGUAGUGAAUAUGCAUAACUGAAACAUCCGUUGUCCUCACAGACCCAAAGGAACACAGACGAGAGGCCGUUAAAUUGAUUGCACAUAACCUACUCUAUAUUUUGGCAAGGGGAAACAUUGCUCUAUGGUGCAAAACUGAUUAAAAUGAGAAAUGGAAAAACUAACAGUAAGACCAUGUGGAGAUUUAACUGAGCAGCAUUGAUGUGUCAUUUGACAGGGCUGAACUAAAAGAAUACAUAUUUGGAUCAUCUGGCCUUUUACAUCUUGAUUACAUUCUGCAGCUUGUUUCUAGUCUUAGUCAUGGAAUGCACUGAUGAGUUAUUUGAGCAUAUUUGGUCAUCCCAAAUGACACCUCUAUUUCCUACAGAGUAGAUAACUUUUGGCAGAAGUUAUCUAGUUCCGGUCAAAAGUAGGGCACUUUUUAGGGAAUAGAGUGCCAUUUGAUAGGCCACCAUUUUUAUUUAUUUUUCCACAAACUUCCUAUGUGACAGAGAAAUCAAUCAUCCCUUGUCCCUCUUCUCACUCUGGUAAUCUCACCAGUAUGAAAAGUGGUGGUGUUGUCUAUAUAGCACUCCCCCUCAUUCACCACAUCAACUCUGUUCCAUCGAAUCCAUUCCAGACAUUACAAUGAGCCUUUCCUCCUAUAUCCCCUCCCACCAGUCUCCUGAACCCCACUAUCAUUACAGGUCAUAGAGGGGAAGGGAAAAUGUUCCAAAUUGUUAGUUGAUGAAAUUAUAUAUAAAUCUCUC
Molecule: long non-coding RNA, 1664 nt
Organism: Oncorhynchus tshawytscha (Chinook salmon)
Lineage: Eukaryota; Metazoa; Chordata; Actinopteri; Salmoniformes; Salmonidae
Source: Ensembl